This 497-nucleotide ribosomal RNA is filed under the name uncultured bacterium. RNAcentral's name for it is "partial 16S ribosomal RNA". It matches the Rfam family "Bacterial small subunit ribosomal RNA", at positions 28 to 507 of the family's 1533-position model. The record is from RNAcentral.
GAUGAACGCUGGCGGCGUGCCUAAUACAUGCAAGUCGAGCGAACAGACGAGGAGCUUGUUCCUCUGACGUUAGCGGCGGACGGGUGAGUAACACGUGGAUAACCUACCUAUAAGACUGGGAUAACUUCUGGAAACCGGAGCUAAUACCGGAUAAUAUCUUUAACCGCAUGGUUCAAUAGUGAAAGACGCUUUUGCUUUCACUUAUAGAUAGAUCCGCGCCGCAUUAGCUAGUGGGUAAGGUAACGGCUUACCAAGGGGACGAUGCGUAGCCGACCUGAGAGGGUGAUCGGCAACACUGGAACUGGGACACGGUCCAGACCCCUACGGGAGGCAGAAGAAGGGAAUCUUCGGCAAUGGGCGAAAGCCUGACGGAGCACCGCCGCGGGAGUGAGGAAGGUCUUCGGAUCGUAAAACUCUGUUAUUAGGGAAGAACAAAUGUGUAGGUGAAUAUGCACGUCGUGACGGUACCUACUCAGAAAGCCACGGCUAACUACGUG